GAUGAACGCUGGCGGCGUGCCUAAUACAUGCAAGUCGAGCGAACGGACGAGAAGCUUGCUUCUCUGAUGUUAGCGGCGGACGGGUGAGUAACACGUGGAUCCCCUACCUAUAAGUCUGGGAUCACUUCGGGAAACCGUAGCUAAUACCGGAUAAUAUUUUGAACCGCAUGGUUGAAAAGUGAAAGUCGGUCUUGCUGUCACUUAUAGCUGGAUCCGCGCUGCAUUAGCUAGUUGGUAAGGUAACGGCUUACCAAGGCAACGAUGCCUAGCCGACCUGAGAGGGUGGUCGGCCACACUAGAACUGAGACAGGGACCAUACUCCUACGGGAGGCAGCAGUAGGCAAUCUUCCGCAAUGGGCGAAAGCCUGACGGAGCAACGCCGCGUGAGUGAUGAAGGUCUUCGGAUCGUAAAACUCUGUUAUUAGGGAAGAACAGAUGUGUAAGUAACUGUGCACAUCGUGACGGUACCGAAUCAGAAAGCCACGGCUAACUACGUG
RNAcentral lists this ribosomal RNA (497 nucleotides) under uncultured bacterium. Its description in RNAcentral is "partial 16S ribosomal RNA". It matches the Rfam family "Bacterial small subunit ribosomal RNA", at positions 28 to 507 of the family's 1533-position model. The record is from RNAcentral.